UACGUAGGGUGCGAGCGUUACUCGGAAUUACUGGGCGUAAAGCGUGCGCAGGCUGUUUUGUAAGUCAGAUGUGAAAUCCCCGAGCUCAACUUGGGAACUGCGUUUGAAACUACAAGACUAGAAUAUGUCAGAGGGGGGUAGAAUUCCACGUGUAGCAGUGAAAUGCGUAGAGAUGUGGAGGAAUAUCAAUGGCGAAGGCAGCCCCCUGGGAUAAUAUUGACGCUCAUGCACGAAAGCGUGGGGAGCAAACAGG
RNAcentral lists this ribosomal RNA (253 nucleotides) under uncultured bacterium. RNAcentral describes it as "partial 16S ribosomal RNA". It matches the Rfam family "Bacterial small subunit ribosomal RNA", at positions 524 to 776 of the family's 1533-position model. The record is from RNAcentral.